This is a non-coding RNA of Phrynosoma platyrhinos (Desert horned lizard), 72 nucleotides long. The record is from the annotation of a GenBank genome assembly. Lineage: Eukaryota; Metazoa; Chordata; Lepidosauria; Squamata; Phrynosomatidae.
GGCAGUGUGGUGCAGUGGUUUGGGUAUUGGACUAUGACUCUGAAGAUCAGGGUUUGAAUGCCUGCUCAACCA